GAGCGGGCGGAGGAGUCUUAUAUGAUGGAGGGUGGUUUUAGGGUUUUGCAGUGCUUGUCUUAAACGGUAAGCGAUUAUUGUAAAGAAAAAUCGAAAUUGGCAAAGACGCCAGAGAAGAUCGGAUCUAGAUUUGGAGAGAGAACAGUGUGGAAGGAGCACAAGGAGUGUUGGUAGUCUUCCUUGUGUCCUUAGAGCCGACUCAGGUGACUUAGAUCUCCGGGGAAGCUUUGGCGGUGACGGAGGAAGCUUGGAUCUCAGAAUCGCCUUUUGCGUCUCCAAACCUAGCGGCGCCAUUCUUUUUUCCAUACAGUAUAAUAUUGUGUUUCAUUUUGAUGUUUCCCUAAAAAAAUAUUGAGUGGUAUAGAAAGAAUAAUUCGGUUCUUU
Molecule: long non-coding RNA, 384 nt
Filed under: Brassica napus (rape)
Lineage: Eukaryota; Viridiplantae; Streptophyta; Magnoliopsida; Brassicales; Brassicaceae
Description: long non-coding RNA (BNAP_LNC023985)
Source: RNAcentral